This 231-nucleotide ribosomal RNA is filed under the name uncultured bacterium. RNAcentral's name for it is "partial 16S ribosomal RNA". It matches the Rfam family "Bacterial small subunit ribosomal RNA", at positions 118 to 347 of the family's 1533-position model. The record is from RNAcentral.
UGAGUAACCUGCCCUUCGCUCUGGGAUAACUCCGGGAAACCGGGGCUAAUACUGGAUAUGACUCGAACAGGCAUCUGUUUCGGGUGGAAAGAUUUAUUGGUGGAGGAUGGACUCGCGGCCUAUCAGCCUGUUGGUGAGGUAAUGGCUCACCAAGGCGACGACGGGUAGCCGGCCUGAGAGGGUGAUCGGCCACACUGGGACUGAGACACGGCCCAGACUCCUACGGGAGCA